UGCGAGCUCUCCGUUAUGUGAAUACUGUAAGAAGCGCUAUCCGAGUGACUGUUGGAAGAAGGCAGGAGCAUGUUUUCGAUAUGGGUCCACCGAACAUCGAAUUCGGGAGUUCUUUGACGAUUUUGAGACAGAUAUGAUUGUAAAUGUUUCAUUGUUUAGAUUAGAUUAUUAAAUUGUGUGUGAUAGAACAAAUGUGUAUCUACCUUAAUGGUUAAGUGUUCUGGGC
Molecule: long non-coding RNA, 226 nt
Filed under: Gossypium barbadense (sea-island cotton)
Lineage: Eukaryota; Viridiplantae; Streptophyta; Magnoliopsida; Malvales; Malvaceae
Description: long non-coding RNA (GBAR_LNC003367)
Source: RNAcentral